GACAAAGGCUUUCUCAGGACAGAAGAGCCUGGAAGGCACACUGCACUUCUGAUAGUGAAAACCAGCAUGGAAGUGUUCUUCCUAAGAGUGUCAUCUAUUACUAAAGAGACCCUUAUACUUGAUUAUGAACAAUUCAUCCAGCUACAGAACAUUUGGAAAGCAAGUUAACUCUAUCCAUUUCAGCUCUGCUGCUGUCACCAUCAAACACCUUUCACAGCCCAAGAGGGACCAGCAUCUUCAACAUAACAGC
Alligator sinensis (Chinese alligator) is the source of this 250-nucleotide long non-coding RNA. RefSeq lists it as uncharacterized. NCBI's taxonomy places the organism in Eukaryota, Metazoa, Chordata, Crocodylia, Alligatoridae. The transcript is spliced from 3 exons. The record is from RefSeq and is a predicted model, not a curated record.